UUAUUGGAGAGUUUGAUCCUGGCUCAGGACGAACGCUGGCGGCGUGCCUAAUACAUGCAAGUCGAGCGAAUCUGAGG
RNAcentral lists this ribosomal RNA (77 nucleotides) under Metabacillus malikii. RNAcentral's name for it is "partial 16S ribosomal RNA". It matches the Rfam family "Bacterial small subunit ribosomal RNA", at positions 1 to 77 of the family's 1533-position model. RNAcentral also lists the same sequence under 1 other name. The record is from RNAcentral. Lineage: Bacteria; Bacillati; Bacillota; Bacilli; Caryophanales; Bacillaceae.